AGUCAAUGAAGUCCCAUAGUCCAAAAGAUGUAAUGCUGUUUUCUCAUACUGAAUUAGAAGACAGAAUUGGAGGUGGAUUUGUAUGUGUAAAAAGUGGCAUUGAAGACCAUUGCACCUCUUGUUAUAUGUGUGAAUAUGCAUCUGGCACAGGAUAUAAUGUUCUAGACGAAUGGACCUCCUGACGGGAGCCUUCUGCAAAAUAUCUGAAGUGUGAACUUGACCCUUUGAGUGAAGUUUAUGGAUACUUUUUGGCUCUUCUGCCAUUGACUCUGCCAAGGUUCCAUACAAGGUUCCUUGUAUGAACUGACUUCAGUCCUGCUCUUUGAAAGCUUG
This is a long non-coding RNA of Pipra filicauda (Wire-tailed manakin), 333 nucleotides long. RefSeq lists it as uncharacterized. The transcript is spliced from 3 exons. NCBI's taxonomy places the organism in Eukaryota, Metazoa, Chordata, Aves, Passeriformes, Pipridae. The record is from RefSeq and is a predicted model, not a curated record.